RNAcentral lists this unclassified non-coding RNA (364 nucleotides) under uncultured bacterium. Its description in RNAcentral is "contains 16S-23S intergenic spacer region". The record is from RNAcentral.
UCUCCCGUGAGGGAGCAGUCUCGCCUGGCCAUAUAGGCAACAGGCAACGGGGGUUGCGUUCGUUACCCCACUGAAGGGAACAGUUCAAACCACGAACUGACGACGACCAUGCAUCACCUGUCUAGCACCCUCGAAGGCUCCGUCCCUUUCGGGUCGGAUGCAGCUAGAUUUCUAACCUUGGUAAGGUUCUUCGUUUGCUUACGAAUUGAGCCACAUAAUCCACUGCUUGUGCGAGUCCCCGUCUAUUCCUUUGAGUUUUAAUCUUGCGACCGUACUCCCCAGGCGGGAUGCUUAAUGCGUUAGCUGCGCCACUGAAGGGUAAACCCACCAACGGCUAGCAUCCAUCGUUUACGGCGUGGACUAC